Molecule: long non-coding RNA, 248 nt
Filed under: Homo sapiens (human)
Lineage: Eukaryota; Metazoa; Chordata; Mammalia; Primates; Hominidae
Description: HSALNT0177117
Source: RNAcentral
UGAGAAGAGAUAAAAGGGAGAUUGUAAAAGAUUUCAUCAUGGAUGCCUCAAUUGAGGAGAAAGGUUAAGUAGCAAGGUUCACAGCAAAGGCUAAUAGAGACUCCAUGGAAAAGCUAUAAUAAAUGAUCCAUUAAUUUGGGCCUGCGAGGAAAGUCAAUUGCAAGGAAGACUGAGGAAAGUUUCAUUUAGGAGAGAUAUUGGGUUUUGUGUUUAUGCCCACAGCUAGUCUUACAUCUUGGUGUUCAUUA